UUAAGUUCAGCGGGUAGUCCUACCUGAUUUGAGGUCAGAAUUUCAAGUUUGCUUGACCGCCACUCAUAAGGCAGGUCGUGGAGGGGCACAAAGAGGGGAACAUCUCGUUAAAGCGAGGAUAAUACAACGCCCAAUCGAGUUCGACCCACAGGCCCAACCGAUGCAUUUGAGGGGAGCCACCUCUCGGCAGCAAGCCCCCA
RNAcentral lists this unclassified non-coding RNA (200 nucleotides) under Trechispora sp. RNAcentral's name for it is "partial internal transcribed spacer 2". Lineage: Eukaryota; Fungi; Basidiomycota; Agaricomycetes; Trechisporales; Hydnodontaceae. The record is from RNAcentral.